This 325-nucleotide ribosomal RNA is filed under the name uncultured bacterium. Its description in RNAcentral is "bacterial SSU rRNA". It matches the Rfam family "Bacterial small subunit ribosomal RNA", at positions 1051 to 1378 of the family's 1533-position model. The record is from RNAcentral.
GUCGUCAGCUCGUGUCGUGAGAUGUUGGGUUAAGUCCCGCAACGAGCGCAACCCUUGUCAUUAGUUGCUACAUUCAGUUGAGCACUCUAAUGAGACUGCCGGUGACAAACCGGAGGAAGGUGGGGAUGACGUCAAGUCCUCAUGGCCCUUAUAGGUGGGGCUACACACGUCAUACAAUGGCUGGUACAGAGGGUUGCCAACCCGCGAGGGGGAGCUAAUCCCAUAAAACCAGUCGUAGUCCGGAUCGCAGUCUGCAACUCGACUGCGUGAAGUCGGAAUCGCUAGUAAUCGCGGAUCAGCAUGUCGCGGUGAAUACGUUCCCGGG